Molecule: ribosomal RNA, 626 nt
Filed under: Parvocaecus sp. 1 CA-2016
Lineage: Eukaryota; Metazoa; Arthropoda; Insecta; Coleoptera; Carabidae
Description: SSU rRNA
Rfam family: Eukaryotic small subunit ribosomal RNA
Source: RNAcentral
GAUCCUGCCAGUAGUCAUAUGCUUGUCUCAAAGAUUAAGCCAUGCAUGUCUCAGUACAAGCUACAAUAAAGUGAAACCGCGAAAGGCUCAUUAAAUCAGUUAUGGUUCCUUAGAUCGUACCCACAUUUACUUGGAUAACUGUGGUAAUUCUAGAGCUAAUACAUGCAAACAGAGCCCCGACCGGAGACGGAAGGGGUGCUUUUAUUAGAUCAAAACCAAUCGGCGUCAGUAGCGUUUCGGCGUUGCUGUUCGUCGCAAUGUUUGGUGACACUGAAUAACUUUUGGCUGAUCGCACGGUCUAGCACCGGCGACGCAUCUUUCAAAUGUCUGCCUUAUCAACUGUCGAUGGUAGGUUCUGCGCCUACCAUGGUUGUAACGGGUAACGGGGAAUCAGGGUUCGAUUCCGGAGAGGGAGCCUGAGAAACGGCUACCACAUCCAAGGAAGGCAGCAGGCGCGCAAAUUACCCACUCCCGGCACGGGGAGGUAGUGACGAAAAAUAACGAUACGGGACUCAUCCGAGGCCCCGUAAUCGGAAUGAGUACAAUUUAAAUACUUUAACGAGUACCUAAUGAAGGGCAUGUCUGGUGCCAGCAGCCGCGGUAAUUCCAGCUUCAUUAGCAUAUAU